AUUGAACGCUGGCGGCAGGCCUAACACAUGCAAGUCGAGCGGAUGAAGGGAGCUUGCUCCUGGAUUCAGCGGCGGACGGGUGAGUAAUGCCUAGGAAUCUGCCUGGUAGUGGGGGAUAACGUCCGGAAACGGGCGCUAAUACCGCAUACGUCCUGAGGGAGAAAGUGGGGGAUCUUCGGACCUCACGCUAUCAGAUGAGCCUAGGUCGGAUUAGCUAGUUGGUGGGGUAAAGGCCUACCAAGGCGACGAUCCGUAACUGGUCUGAGAGGAUGAUCAGUCACACUGGAGGUGAGACACGGUCCAGACUCCUACGUGAGGCAGCAGUGGGGAAUAUUGGACAAUGGGCGAAAGCCUGAUCCAGACAUGCCGAGUGUGUGAAGAAGGUCUUCGGAUUGUAAAGCACUUUAAGUUGGGAGGAAGGGCAGUAAGUUAAUACCUUGCUGUUUUGACGUUACCAACAGAAUAAGCACCGGCUAACUUCGUG
This 484-nucleotide ribosomal RNA is filed under the name uncultured bacterium. RNAcentral's name for it is "partial 16S ribosomal RNA". It matches the Rfam family "Bacterial small subunit ribosomal RNA", at positions 30 to 507 of the family's 1533-position model. The record is from RNAcentral.